This is a long non-coding RNA of Pyrus x bretschneideri (Chinese white pear), 1031 nucleotides long. RefSeq lists it as uncharacterized. The record is from RefSeq and is a predicted model, not a curated record. The transcript has 3 exons. Lineage: Eukaryota; Viridiplantae; Streptophyta; Magnoliopsida; Rosales; Rosaceae.
CUCUCUCUCUCUCUCUCUCUCUCUCCCCCUCUGUUUCGGCAUUUUGAUUUCCCGGGAAAGUUUGAAUCUCGGUCGUUUCUUCAGAAACAUUGGUUUGCUGUUCUCCUAGUCAUGUGCCACAACAACGAAUUUUUUGAUCAUUUUCUAUGCUUACCACAUCAAUUGAUGAUCGAUUCUGCUAAUUCAUUUCAACAUCUGUAUGUUUAAUUCAUGCAUCUGAACUGUAUUACAUUGUUUACGUGAACAAAUUAGAGAUUAAGAGAAUUAUAAUUACUUGUAAUUUGAUAAAUUAACCGCUAACUCUGUUUUUUCUUCGGUUAAUUGUCCCUUGUUUUAAAUCCCUUAGCUUUCCUUGAAAAAUUGUUGAACUGGCAAAAAGGAAUCAUCCGGAACUUGUAAAAAACUCCGCUGAACCAAAAGACGUUUAAGAAGUUGAAGUUAUCAGAUGUAUUGACUCAAAUAAUUGCAUGGAAGCGGAGGUCUCUGCAGUAGUAGACGAUAAUAUUAGAGAACUCCCUAAUCACAUGGCUCAAGACACUGCAAGCGCUAAACCAAAGUCCCCAGGCAAGUCACCACCUCUAUCAAGGAGUUCAGCGUUAAUGAAACCCACGGCAAGUCAGCUGGCCAAGCAAAAUAACUGCCGAGAAGUUCACUCCAACCGGUUACAAGGAGGUUGCUGAACAGCUCAAGCAUCAACCUCUCUGGUUACACAAGGUGUCGAAAAAGGUAGCAUACAUUUUACGAAAACAAGGUUAUGUGCUUUUGACCGUGAAAAGAACAUUUUAGUUUCAUUCGAAAUAAGAGAAAAAUAGUUUACAUUGAUGGAAAAGCUCGAAGUUGUAGAGUUCAUGAUCUUUUGUGGGAACUGCUCCACUACAAAUUCGUGAUGGAUUGAUGGCAGCUGCAAGCAUCUUUCUCUCUCCCUUUAAAUUCUUUCUCGAUUGAUAUUUUUAGUAACAGAUUCUCAUUGAUUCAAUCAGUGUGUUUGGCAUUGUUUGACUGGGUGCUACACUACCCACUUUGUACGAACA